Molecule: ribosomal RNA, 439 nt
Filed under: uncultured bacterium
Lineage: Bacteria
Description: bacterial SSU rRNA
Rfam family: Bacterial small subunit ribosomal RNA
Source: RNAcentral
AGUGAACGCUGGCGGCAGGCCUAACACAUGCAAGUCGAGCGGCAGCGCGGGGGCAACCCUGGCGGCGAGCGGCGGACGGGUGAGGAAUUCGUCGGAAUCUGCCUUUUUGUGGGGGAUAACGUAGGGAAACUUACGCUAAUACCGCAUACGACCUACGGGUGAAAGUGGGGGACCGCAAGGCCUCACGCAGAAAGAUGAGCCCGACGACCGAUUAGCUAGUUGGUAGGGUAAAGGCCUACCAAGGCGACGAUCGGUAGCUGGUCUGAGAGGAUGAUCAGCCACACUGGGACUGAGACACGGCCCAGACUCCUACGGGAGGCAGCAGUGGGGAAUAUUGGACAAUGGGCGCAAGCCUGAUCCAGCCAUGCCGCGUGUGUGAAGAAGGCCCUCGGGUUGUAAACUGCUUUGUACGGUAACGAAAAGGUACGUCUCUUAAUAC